UUUUUAAAGCAAUUAAGGGCGUAUGGUGGAUGCCUAGGGUCUGAGAGGCGAUGAAGGACGUGGUAAGCUGCGAUAAGCUUCGGGGAGCUGCACACAAGCGUAACAUCCGAAGAUUUCCGAAUGGGACAACCUAAUAUAUUGAAGAUAUAUUACCCCCACAGCAAUGUGAGGGAGCCAACCCGCUGAACUGAAACAUCUAAGUAGGCGGAGGAAAAUAAAAUAACAAUGAUUCCCUGAGUAGUGGCGAGCGAAACGGGAAGAGCCCAAACCAUGGCGGCGUGCUGCCGUGGGGUUGUAGGACUGCAUUUAGAAACUGUUAUCAAGCUGAAUUUUCUGGAAAGUUAAAUCAAAGAGGGUGAUAAUCCCGUAAGCAGAAAUUAACAGGGACGAGCAGUAUCCUGAGUAAGGCGGGACCGGAGAAAUCCUGCCUGAAUCUGCCGGCACCAUCCGGUAAGGCUAAAUACUCCUCAGACACCGAUAGUGAACCAGUACCGUAAGGGAAAGGUGAAAAGUACCCUAAACAAGGGAGUGAAAUAGUACCUGAAACCGUACGCCUACAAGCGGUCGGAGUCUCCACAGCAAUGUGAGGGAUGACGGCGUGCCUUUUGCAUAAUGAGCCUACGAGUUACUCCUCACUGGCGAGGUUAAGUUCUUAAGUAACGGAGCCGUAGCGAAAGCGAGUCCAAAUAGGGCGUUUAGUCAGUGGGGGUAGACGCGAAACUUUGUGAUCUAUCCAUGGGCAGGUUGAAGGUGUGGUAACACACACUGGAGGACCGAACCCGUUGACGUUGAAAAGUCUUGGGAUGAC
RNAcentral lists this ribosomal RNA (808 nucleotides) under Niastella sp. SCN 39-18. Its description in RNAcentral is "bacterial LSU rRNA". It matches the Rfam family "Bacterial large subunit ribosomal RNA", at positions 1 to 808 of the family's 2925-position model. The record is from RNAcentral. Lineage: Bacteria; Pseudomonadati; Bacteroidota; Chitinophagia; Chitinophagales; Chitinophagaceae.